This 826-nucleotide long non-coding RNA is filed under the name Sorghum bicolor (sorghum). Its description in RNAcentral is "long non-coding RNA (SBIC_LNC000879)". Lineage: Eukaryota; Viridiplantae; Streptophyta; Magnoliopsida; Poales; Poaceae. The record is from RNAcentral.
GUAUGUAGUAUUUGUGGUAUGAAGCAUAGUGACCUUGUCUUCUCUCUCACCCUACUUUAAUAAGGCUUUUCAUAUCUGGAGCUCAUAGGUGGGAGAUAAAGUAUACAUACUUACAAGACAUUUAUUGCAUAGUCAAGCCAUGGAUCCUGAGAAAUAAGUCAAUAAGUCAAAUCAAGAUGUACAUGUGUGGCAAAUGAACGGUGUAUGGUGAUGAUGGUGAUAACAAUGGUGAAAGUCUAAUUCUACUUGUGCUCUUUUGAGGGGAUACAUACAUUUCUUGCUCUUUUGAAACUUUUUGAGGAGAAUGAGAUGCUCUAUGUUUUCUUUUUCUUUCCUCUUAGGUGGGUACCUUGUACCCAUAAUUCUACUGUUGGACACUUGUCCAUUUUUACCUCUCGUCUCACUUUUUCUUUUCUUUCGAGGUUCCAGGCACUUGCCCCUUUUUAUUUCCUCGCAUCCUUUCUCUUUUAUUUUUUAAGAACACUCAUCUCCUGAAAUAAUAUAGCAAGUGGUAGUGACCAAGAUAACUUGAGUAUUUAUUUCACAGGGGAAAACAGAAAUUGGAGAAUAUUUUUGGCUAUUCUCUCCCAGAUUAGGAGUAGAAUACUUUUGGGUGGUUCUGGAGAUGGUAAUGAGUGGAUAUACGUGGAUGCGUACUUCCAGAGUAGAAGGAGCAGGUGUGAGUGAGCGUGCAAGUGAAUCUUGAUUUAACCACAUGACACGCUCCUAAGGGUCUACACAUCUUGACCACACUCAAUACUCAUAAGCAGUAAAAAGUAAAUGUGUAGCUCAAAGUCUUGCAAGCAUGUAUAUAUGGCUAUGGUAG